UACGUAGGGUCCAAGCGUUAUCCGGAAUCACUGGGCGUAAAGCGUGCGUAGGUGGAUGUUUAAAUGUGAUGUUAAAUCGUGUGGCUCAACCAUAUCGAUGCAUCGCAUACUGGACGUCUAGAGGACAGCAGAGGCAAGUGGAAUUUGUAGUGUAGCAGUGAAAUGCGUAGAUAUUACAAGGAACACCAAUGGCGAAGGCAGCUUGCUGGGCUACUCCUGACACUGAGGUACGAAAGCGUGGGGAGCGAACAGG
Molecule: ribosomal RNA, 253 nt
Filed under: uncultured bacterium
Lineage: Bacteria
Description: partial 16S ribosomal RNA
Rfam family: Bacterial small subunit ribosomal RNA
Source: RNAcentral